UACGUAGGGUGCGAGCGUUGUCCGGAAUUACUGGGCGUAAAGAGCUCGUAGGUGGUUUGUCGCGUUGUUCGUGAAAUCUCACGGCUUAACUGUGAGCGUGCGGGCGAUACGGGCAGACUGGAGUACUGCAGGGGAGACUGGAAUUCCUGGUGUAGCGGUGGAAUGCGCAGAUAUCAGGAGGAACACCGGUGGCGAAGGCGGGGCUCUGGGCAGUAACUGACGCUGAGGAGCGAAAGCGUGGGGAGCGAACAGG
This 253-nucleotide ribosomal RNA is filed under the name uncultured bacterium. RNAcentral's name for it is "partial 16S ribosomal RNA". It matches the Rfam family "Bacterial small subunit ribosomal RNA", at positions 524 to 776 of the family's 1533-position model. The record is from RNAcentral.